GCUGGGUGCAAUGACAUGGCGGUAGUCCCAGCUACCUGGGAGGCUGAGGCCAGAGGAUCACUUGAGCCCAGGAGUUACGGACUGUAGAGAGCUGUGCCAAUCAGGUAUCUGCACUAAGUUCAGUAUCAAUAUAGUGACCUCCUGGCAGUAGGGGCCACCAGGUUGCCACAGGAGGGGUGAAUUGGCUCAGGUCUAUAAUGGAGCAGAUCAAAACCCUUGUGCUAAUCAGUAGUGGGAUUGUGCCUGUGAAUAGCCACUAUACUCCAGCUUGGACAACAUAGCAAGAAA
Unclassified non-coding RNA from Chlorocebus sabaeus (green monkey), 288 nucleotides. It matches the Rfam family "Metazoan signal recognition particle RNA". From Rfam's summary of the family: The signal recognition particle (SRP) is a universally conserved ribonucleoprotein. It is involved in the co-translational targeting of proteins to membranes. The record is from Ensembl. NCBI's taxonomy places the organism in Eukaryota, Metazoa, Chordata, Mammalia, Primates, Cercopithecidae.